UACAGAGGUGGCAAGCGUUGUUCGGAAUUACUGGGCGUAAAGGGCUCGUAGGCGGCCAACUAAGUCAGACGUGAAAUCCCCAGGCUUAACCUGGGAACUGCGUCUGAUACUGGAUGGCUUGAAUUCGGGAGAGGGAUGCAGAAUUCCAGGUGUAGCGGUGAAAUGCGUAGAUAUCUGGAGGAAUACCGGUGGCGAAGGCGGCAUCCUGGACCGACAUUGACGCUGAGGAGCGAAAGCUAGGGGAGCAAACGGG
Molecule: ribosomal RNA, 253 nt
Filed under: uncultured bacterium
Lineage: Bacteria
Description: partial 16S ribosomal RNA
Rfam family: Bacterial small subunit ribosomal RNA
Source: RNAcentral